This 465-nucleotide ribosomal RNA is filed under the name uncultured bacterium. Its description in RNAcentral is "partial 16S ribosomal RNA". It matches the Rfam family "Bacterial small subunit ribosomal RNA", at positions 28 to 507 of the family's 1533-position model. The record is from RNAcentral.
GACGAACGCUGGCGGCGUGCUUAACACAUGCAAGUCGAACGGAAAGGCCCUGCUUGCAGGGUACUCGAGUGGCGAACGGGUGAGUAACACGUGGGUGUUCUGCCCUGCACUUCGGGAUAAGCCUGGGAAACUGGGUCUAAUACCGGAUAGGAGCCAUUUUUAGUGUGAUGGUUGGAAAGUUUUUUCGGUGUAGGAUGAGCUCGCGGCCUAUCAGCUUGUUGGUGGGGUAAUGGCCUACCAAGGCGGCGACGGGUAGCCGGCCUGAGAGGGUGGACGGCCACAUUGGGACUGAGAUACGGCCCAGACUCCUACGGGAGGGAGCAGGGGGGAAUAUUGCACAAUGGGCGCAAGCCUGAUGCAGCGACGCCGCGUGGGGGAUGACGGCCUUCGGGUUGGAAACUCCUUUCGCUAGGGACGAAGCUUUUUGUGACGGUACCUAGAUAAGAAGCACCGGCUAACUACGUG